CCACCUCUGCUUGAAGAUCGUGUGAAACCCUAUUAUCAGUUUUGUCAGCAGGAAAUCGGAAAAAAAAAGCUUAAAUCACAUAUAGAUACUAGAUUAGUAACCCAUAUAACCUAAUAUUAGCGGCAGUCUUAACUUCAAAAUUUUAGUUUUCCUCUUAUCUAUCUUAAACCGCAUAACCAGUUCACCCUAAAACCGCAUAUGAGACCUAAUUUCUGAUGCUCGUUUGUGGUUCUCGCCAUAAGGGUGAAGUGAUAGAUGUUUCAUUAUCAAAUUAACUCACCAUCAUAUCCGAUUUGAACUAGGGGUUAACAGCUCUCAUCCAACCAUCUUCUUGGUUCGUAUUAACAAAUUUCGGCAACAUCUCUGUUUUGCAGGUUACCAUCAGAUUGGACCUGGAUCUGGUACAAACAAACAUCUUAGAGAGGAUGCAGAAAUUGCUAUGCAAGGAUUCAUCAAUUUUGCUCAAUAUACAUCUAGUAUACAUCUCGCAGGUUUUUGAUAAAAUGUCAGCGUUUGAACUCACCUAAAAAUUAAGCGCUAAAUCAUUCAAAAUCCAAGAGAAAUCACCAGAAAGAAUUACUAAAAAUUUAGAAGAAGAAUUAAAUAAGCCGUAUAACUAGGGGUCUGCACGGGCGAUGUGGGAACAUCAGCAUGGUAAGGCUUCAGAUCUUUUAAAAAGCACAAGA
RNAcentral lists this long non-coding RNA (686 nucleotides) under Helianthus annuus (common sunflower). RNAcentral's name for it is "sRNA HanXRQr2_Chr05g0196621". Lineage: Eukaryota; Viridiplantae; Streptophyta; Magnoliopsida; Asterales; Asteraceae. The record is from RNAcentral.